UACGUAGGGUGCAAGCGUUGUCCGGAAUUAUUGGGCGUAAAGAGCUCGUGGGCGGUCUGUCGCGUCGGCUGUGAAAUCCCGAGGCUCAACCUCGGGUCUGCAGUCGAUACGGGCAGACUAGAGGUAUGCAGGGGAGAACGGAAUUCCUGGUGUAGCGGUGAAAUGCGCAGAUAUCAGGAGGAACACCGGUGGCGAAGGCGGUUCUCUGGGCAUUACCUGACGCUGAGGAGCGAAAGUGUGGGGAGCGAACAGG
Molecule: ribosomal RNA, 253 nt
Filed under: uncultured bacterium
Lineage: Bacteria
Description: partial 16S ribosomal RNA
Rfam family: Bacterial small subunit ribosomal RNA
Source: RNAcentral